RNAcentral lists this ribosomal RNA (480 nucleotides) under uncultured bacterium. RNAcentral describes it as "partial 16S ribosomal RNA". It matches the Rfam family "Bacterial small subunit ribosomal RNA", at positions 28 to 506 of the family's 1533-position model. The record is from RNAcentral.
GAUGAACGCUGGCGGCGUGCUUAACACAUGCAAGUCGAACGAAGCAUUUAGGACAGAUUACUUCGGUUUGAAGUUCUUUAUGACUGAGUGGCGGACGGGUGAGUAACGCGUGGGUAACCUGCCUUGUACUGGGGGAUAGCAGUUGGAAACGGCUGGUAAUACCGCAUAAGCGCACAAUGUUGCAUGACAUGGUGUGAAAAACUCCGGUGGUAUAAGAUGGACCCGCGUCUGAUUAGCUAGUUGGUGAGAUAACAGCCCACCAAGGCGACGAUCAGUAGCCGACCUGGGAGGGUGACCGGCCACAUUGGGACUGGGCCCCGGCCCAGACUCCUACGGGAGUCAGCAGGGGGGAAUAUUGAACAAUGGAGGAAACUCUGAUGCGGCGAGGCCGCGUGAGUGAAGAAUUAUUUCGUAAUGUAAGGCUCUAUCAGCAGGGAAGAUGGUAACGGUCCUGGACUAGGAAGUCCCGCCAAAUUCCGU